RNAcentral lists this long non-coding RNA (1457 nucleotides) under Chrysemys picta bellii (western painted turtle). RNAcentral describes it as "lncRNA (ENSCPBG00000012555.1)". Lineage: Eukaryota; Metazoa; Chordata; Testudines; Emydidae. The record is from RNAcentral.
GAGAGAGAGAGAGUGUGUGUGUGUGUGUGUGUGUGUGUGUGUGUGUGUGUGUGUGUGUGUGUGUGUGCGCGCGCGUGCCACCCUCAUUUCUGUGCUGCCUCUGGAGGUGGGUCUGAUCACCCUACCAAGAGCAGCCAUGCAGGAGAAGGACAACUCCUGUCCCUCCCAAGCACAGCUAGGAGCUCCAGGGCUCCCAGCAGCGGGGGAGAUCAGAUUUCACGGGGGAGGGCUGAUUUCGCAGUCCGUAACACGUUUUUCAUGGCCAUGAAAUUGGUAGGGCUCUAGCCAUUACUCCUUAAUUUGGAUGAGUGUUUUGAGUGGUUUGGAAAAAAUUCCAAUGUUUCCAGUUGUUUGAAGCAGCAACUUUAUUGGUAAACAAUAUAUACAACUUAGUUUAGUUUCUGUUACACUGUUUUAAAACUGGAGCAACUCCAUUGACUACACCAUAUUUAUGCAAUUGAAAGUGAGAGCAGAAUCUGGCCCAGUUUUCUUUCAUUUUGUCCUGUGCCUUGUUUCCUAAUUUUCUGGAGUAUUUGAACCUCUUUUCCCUUGCAGAUGCUAGACUAGUCUAAGUGGUUCCAAGCCUACUGGUUUCACAACAGAGCUAGAAAAACUUGCUUCCACAGUCCUUUGCUUGGGCAGGCCCUGAACUUCAUCCACAAUGAAUCACUCUGUUGUUUCCUCUUGGGGCAAAGGCAACUCCCAGGAAACUUUAUACUUAAAAGAGCAGAAUGACAACCAAAGAACUGCAUUCUUCAAUACUAACUGCACCGAUCAGGGGGCAAGGCUACAGUAUGCACAACUUUUCAAUCAGCGGAGGUGACCAAAGAAUCCACUGACAAGCUACAGGUGCGUACUCACUGACACUUUUAGCAGGACUACAGUAUACCCCACUCAGCAACUGGAUGAGGUAAACCCAGAGCCGGGUUGCAGCAAUAUGUGGAAUCUUUACCCUCAGAGAGCAGCAUAACUAUACGGGUAUCUCCAGAUCAGGUAGAGUACUGCUGCAAUGCUGUUGAAUGUAGGAGGCAGGCAUAUCAUUGGUUUCAAUGAAACAUUAACAGGGACCAUGAUAUCACAGUGAGUUUAGUGAAGGACGGGCAGACAAAUAAUUAAAGCCUGUACCCAGUAAGGGGUGUGUGUGUGAGGGGGGUAGGGAGAUCUUCUUGGACUUCUAUUAUAAAGGAUGAAGUUAUAGCUGAUUCAUUUAAAUGACCCUUUCUGGCAUCCUGGCUCUUGUGCUAACUUAAGAAAUCAUUCUAAUUUGGACCCUCUUGUUCCUGUUUCUUUGGAAAGCAGCCUUACUCCUACAUGCAAGGAUUCUGAAAGGAUAGAUGCUUGAGUGUAUAUACAUGAUCAUCUGGGUAAAAAGUCUCUUCUGUAAUUAGUGUCUUAGAUAAUUACACAAUUACUUUACUGUGUAGCACCAACAAUAAAAACCUUAAAUAUUUUUAUCA